ACUGUCGCCGGCGGUGUAGUUUAGUUCUUACUGGAUAAUGUGUAGCAAACUUGGAUAUGGUCGCAGUCGCUUGUAACUCCUGUAGUGUCCAGAAAGUUUCCUCGCUGUUGCUCCAGUGAUUCCCUUUGGGCUUCGGUCUCCUCCGUUCCCCGGCCGGCAGCCCUUCCCUCAGCUGGAGCCUCCACACCCACACAUGGUCUGUGCUUGGUUCUCACUCCACUGAUGAUCAGCUCGUCCUGCUCAGGGUCGUCCACUCGUUUUUCCACAAAGGUGUGGACUCUGCUAUGGAUCAGUGUGAGGACAGAGAGGAGGGAGACCCUCCCUCUGAAACCACUCUGUGUGAGGAACAUGACAGCCAGACCAAAGCUAAGAGGAGGAAGCUGGAAAAACCUGAACCCAGCUGUGUAUCCAUGAAGAGUGACCGGUCUAUGGAUUAUCCUUUAGUCUUCAAAGAUGAACACCACUCUGUUGAUCAAAGG
Long non-coding RNA from Centropristis striata (black sea bass), 479 nucleotides. RefSeq lists it as uncharacterized. The transcript has 3 exons. The record is from RefSeq and is a predicted model, not a curated record. Lineage: Eukaryota; Metazoa; Chordata; Actinopteri; Perciformes; Serranidae.